GUGGGGAAUAUUGGACAAUGGGGGGAACCCUGAUCCAGCCAUGCCGCGUGUGUGAAGAAGGCCUUUUGGUUGUAAAGCACUUUAAGCGAGGAGGAGGCUACCGAGAUUAAUACUCUUGGAUAGUGGACGUUACUCGCAGAAUAAGCACCGGCUAACUCUGUGCCAGCAGCCGCGGUAAUACAGAGGGUGCAAGCGUUAAUCGGAUUUACUGGGCGUAAAGCGCGCGUAGGUGGCCAAUUAAGUCAAAUGUGAAAUCCCCGAGCUUAACUUGGGAAUUGCAUUCGAUACUGGUUGGCUUGAGUAUGGGAGAGGAUGGUAGAAUUCCAGGUGUAGCGGUGAAAUGCGUAGAGAUCUGGAGGAAUACCGAUGGCGAAGGCAGCCAUCUGGCCUAAUACUGACACUGAGGUGCGAAAGCAUGGGGAGCAAACAGGAUUAGAUACCCCGGUAGUCC
This 451-nucleotide ribosomal RNA is filed under the name uncultured bacterium. RNAcentral's name for it is "partial 16S ribosomal RNA". It matches the Rfam family "Bacterial small subunit ribosomal RNA", at positions 354 to 796 of the family's 1533-position model. The record is from RNAcentral.